Molecule: long non-coding RNA, 1778 nt
Organism: Bacillus rossius redtenbacheri
Lineage: Eukaryota; Metazoa; Arthropoda; Insecta; Phasmatodea; Bacillidae
Exons: 2
Source: RefSeq, a predicted model, not a curated record
GUCAAUAAAACAAAUUUGUACAUAUUAAGUAGAGUGGUGUCUGACCAGUGACAAUAGGUGGUGUGGUGCAAGGUCAGUGACAGAUAUAGGUAGUGGGGUGCCUAGCCAGUGAAAACAGGUGAUGUGGUGCCAGAUCAGUGACAGAUAGAGGUGGUGUGGUGCCUGGCCAGUGACAACAGGUGGUGUGGUGCCAGAUCAGUGACAGAUAGAGGUGGUGUGGUGCCUGGCCAGUGACAACAGGUGGUGUGGUGCCUGGCCAGUGACAAUAGGUGGUGUGGUGUCAGAUCAGUGACAGAGGUGGUGUGGUGCCUGGUCAGUGACAGAUAGAGGUGGUGUGGUGCCUGGCCAGUGACAACAGGUGGUGUGGUGCCUGGCCAGUGACAAUAGGUGGUGUAGUGUCAGAUCAGUGACAGAGGUGGUGUGGUGCCUGGUCAGUGACAGAUAGAGGUGGUGUGGUGCCUGGCCAGUGACAAUAGGUGGUGUAGUGUCAGAUCAGUGACAGAGGUGGUGUGGUGCCUGGUCAGUGACAGAUAGAGGUGGUGUGGUGCCUGGCCAGUGACAAUAGGUGGUGUAGUGUCAGAUCAGUGACAGAGGUGGUGUGGUGCCUGGUCAGUGACAGAUAGAGGUGGUGUGGUGCCUGGUCAGUGCCACUACUGAUGCACGAGUGACUCACAGAAGUAGACUGCGAGGUACUGGGUCUCCUCCACCAUGGUCUCGAGCAUGACCCGGGUGAUAAGCUCUAUGCGAUCCUCUGUCUUCUGCGUGAUGAGCCACUGCAGCACCUCCUCUUCUUCGGACAGCUCUCCUGCAGGCACGCAGUCAACGGCCCUAGAUCGCUAUACCUCCUCAUACACAGGCGUGGAUCCAAGGGGGAUCCCAUCACCCAGGGAAGCAAAAUCGAUGAUGAAGCCAAAUACAUAAAGUCCCCCGCAAUGUCUUACAUGAAACCAAAAUAUUGAUAGCUGUGUGCCACAUUGACACAGAGUAACAUGUUUCCUUCAUCCUUCAACUUUUCAGCUGUCCUAAGCUCAAGGGAAAAGCGUGGCUUGGAAUGUUUGAAGGGGGUGGCGGGCGACAAGCUGGGCUGUCCCAUUACUGGAGUGGAGGGUGGAGUGAGGAGAGUUGCAGUGCGACCACAACCAACCCCCCCCCCCCUUCCCAACUAUACGCCGCGCCAACAAAUCUAUAAUUUUUACAUGGGGUGGACCCCCGGACUCUCCCAUUUUAAAUACUUUUGAAACCUACAUUCGCCCCCUGUGACAAACGCUGGAUCCGCCCCUGCUCAUACAUAUAUCAGUUCCUUCAUCAUCACAAUUUGUAAUUACAAAAAAAUUAACAUAAAAAUCUGUGGCAUAAGUAGCCUCAUGUCAUAUGUCAAAUUAAUCUAUAUAUUAUCUGCACACUUGAUGGGUAUUUUUAGUUAUAAAUUGAAAAAAAAAAAAUUUUAAAGUUAGAUGUGUAUAUAUAUUUUUUAAUAGUGUUGUAACAAUGAAUUUACUAUAAAAAAAAGUUUUACAUUAUCAUUUCAGGCUAUGAUAUAAAAAAAAACUGGAAGCCAAACAUCAAUAUUUUUAGGGGCUGACAUUCUUGUACAUCUAGCAAUGUGAUGUGUUACCUCAUUUUCAUGCCGUACCUAAUUUUUUUAUCUGGGACAAUUUCUUCAGAUUUUCCAUUGUAUAAACAUUACAUUUUGUUUUCGGUAUCAAGAGUUACCACCAUACACAUGCUACUUGUUAUCUGCCAGUUGUAAAAAGUCCAAUAAAUAUUUAUAAUUCUAA